Molecule: ribosomal RNA, 253 nt
Filed under: uncultured bacterium
Lineage: Bacteria
Description: partial 16S ribosomal RNA
Rfam family: Bacterial small subunit ribosomal RNA
Source: RNAcentral
UACGAAGGGGGCUAGCGUUGUUCGGCAUUACUGGGCGUAAAGCGCACGUAGGCGGACAUUUAAGUCAGGGGUGAAAUCCCGGGGCUCAACCCCGGAACUGCCUUUGAUACUGGGUGUCUCGAGUCCGGAAGAGGUGAGUGGAAUUCCGAGUGUAGAGGUGAAAUUCGUAGAUAUUCGGAGGAACACCAGUGGCGAAGGCGGCUCACUGGUCCGGUACUGACGCUGAGGCGCGAAAGCGUGGGGAGCGAACCGG